This 254-nucleotide ribosomal RNA is filed under the name uncultured bacterium. Its description in RNAcentral is "partial 16S ribosomal RNA". It matches the Rfam family "Bacterial small subunit ribosomal RNA", at positions 524 to 776 of the family's 1533-position model. The record is from RNAcentral.
UACGGGGGGAGCAAGCGUUGUUCGGAUUUACUGGGCGUAAAGGGCGCGUAGGCGGUCAGCACAAGUCAGUUGUGAAAUCUCCGGGCUUAACUCGGAAAGGUCAACUGAUACUGUGCGACUAGAGUGCAGAAGGGGCAACUGGAAUUCUCGGUGUAGCGGUGAAAUGCGCAGAUAUCGAGAGGAACACCUGCGGCGAAGGCGGGUUGCUGGGCCAACACUGACGCUGAGGCGCGAAAGCCAGGGGAGCAAACGGG